GGACUAUGCUUUACUAUGGAGCAGAAACACUCCGUGGGCUUCUCAUAGUGUACCCAUGCCAGAGUAAAUUGCAGCCUCGAACCAUUGCCCAGCCUCCUUACCUGUGGGCUGUCAGCACUGAAGAGGGUUGUACAGUA
This 137-nucleotide small nucleolar RNA is filed under the name Myotis brandtii (Brandt's bat). RNAcentral describes it as "Small nucleolar RNA SNORA42/SNORA80 family". It matches the Rfam family "Small nucleolar RNA SNORA42/SNORA80 family". Rfam says of the family: The members of this family belong to the H/ACA class of snoRNAs that guide the sites of modification of uridines to pseudouridines. Lineage: Eukaryota; Metazoa; Chordata; Mammalia; Chiroptera; Vespertilionidae. The record is from Rfam by way of RNAcentral.